This 661-nucleotide ribosomal RNA is filed under the name Pseudomonas sp. BG.Sph.060. RNAcentral describes it as "bacterial SSU rRNA". It matches the Rfam family "Bacterial small subunit ribosomal RNA", at positions 96 to 751 of the family's 1533-position model. Lineage: Bacteria; Pseudomonadati; Pseudomonadota; Gammaproteobacteria; Pseudomonadales; Pseudomonadaceae. The record is from RNAcentral.
CGGCGGACGGGUGAGUAAUGCCUAGGAAUCUGCCUGGUAGUGGGGGAUAACGUUCGGAAACGGACGCUAAUACCGCAUACGUCCUACGGGAGAAAGCAGGGGACCUUCGGGCCUUGCGCCAUCAGAUGAGCCUAGGUCGGAUUAGCUAGUUGGUGGGGUAAUGGCUCACCAAGGCGACGAUCCGUAACUGGUCUGAGAGGAUGAUCAGUCACACUGGAACUGAGACACGGUCCAGACUCCUACGGGAGGCAGCAGUGGGGAAUAUUGGACAAUGGGCGAAAGCCUGAUCCAGCCAUGCCGCGUGUGUGAAGAAGGUCUUCGGAUUGUAAAGCACUUUAAGUUGGGAGGAAGGGCAGUUACCUAAUACGUAAUUGUUUUGACGUUACCGACAGAAUAAGCACCGGCUAACUCUGUGCCAGCAGCCGCGGUAAUACAGAGGGUGCAAGCGUUAAUCGGAAUUACUGGGCGUAAAGCGCGCGUAGGUGGUUUGUUAAGUUGGAUGUGAAAUCCCCGGGCUCAACCUGGGAACUGCAUUCAAAACUGACUGACUAGAGUAUGGUAGAGGGUGGUGGAAUUUCCUGUGUAGCGGUGAAAUGCGUAAAUAUAGGAAGGGAACACCAGUGGCGAAGGCGACCACCCUGGACUAAUACUGACACUGAGG